GGAAUUACGCUCCUGUUUUAGCUUGAAUGGCAUUCAAGAGGUCGAGGGUUCGAUCCCCUUCGUCUCCACCA
RNAcentral lists this transfer RNA (71 nucleotides) under Pectinatus haikarae. RNAcentral describes it as "tRNA-Ser". Lineage: Bacteria; Bacillati; Bacillota; Negativicutes; Selenomonadales; Selenomonadaceae. The record is from RNAcentral.